Molecule: long non-coding RNA, 435 nt
Organism: Aplysia californica (California sea hare)
Lineage: Eukaryota; Metazoa; Mollusca; Gastropoda; Aplysiida; Aplysiidae
Exons: 2
Source: RefSeq, a predicted model, not a curated record
GCUGCCCUGUUUCCGUGAGGGAGAGUUCUCUCCCUUCUAUCGCUCACGGCAGCAGAAGCCGACGCUUGUGCGUGCGUUCACUGCUCACCACCACACGGAGGCACGAUGCUAAAUUAGACUAGAUGCCAGGACAUCUUUGCCUUGCUGCAGGUUUCUCAAACACGACAGUGCAACCCUUCUUCUUUACGCUCGGGUUUCUUCUCUGUCUACUUUGUGCCCAGCGUCGAGUUCCAUCAGCUGCUGCCAUGAAGCUUCGGAACCUGUGCAGGGUUCGUCAUCAUCAUCAUCGCUGGUGAUCCUGGACAAGACAGCCUAGAGGAUUUAUCCUGGGGAUAUACGGAUAUCAGCCAUCUUGGAUACAUACGUACGUGCGUCAUCGAAGGAAGGAUUACCUUGGAUAGUUACAUCUUAUUUACGCGAGGAACAACGGAUUUU